UUGAGGCAUGUGCACACCUUUAUCGUGCAUCUACAUCUCACACCUGUGCACAACCUGUAGCUUGGGAUGAUUACAAUACUGGAAACGGUAUUGAAAGCCCUCGCUAUGAAUUUUUAUACAACCCUAUUAAAAGUUACAGAAUGUUUAAUGUUAUAGCGUGUAACAGCGCAAAUAAAUAUACAACUUUCAGCAACGGAUCUCUUGGCUCUCGCAUCGAUGAAGAACGCAGCGAAAUGCGAUAAGUAAUGUGAAUUGCAGAAUUCAGUGAAUCAUCGAAUCUUUGAACGCACCUUGCGCUCCUUGGUAUUCUGAGGAGCAUGCCUGUUUGAGUGUCAUGAAGUUCUCAACUGCUUUAGCUUUUGUGGUUGAAGUAAAGUUGGAUUUGGAGGAAUGAUUGCUGGCGUGACCUUUUAAGGUUGCUUGUUAGCUCCUCUUAAAUGGAUGAACUUUCCAGUAGUGUAAAAGUAACACCAAUGUGAUAAUUAUCUACGUUGGAUGAACUUUUACAAGGAAAGAUGAAUCUGUCUUGGG
This 531-nucleotide ribosomal RNA is filed under the name uncultured Thelephoraceae. RNAcentral describes it as "eukaryotic LSU rRNA". The stretch from base 182 to 335 matches the Rfam family "5.8S ribosomal RNA". Lineage: Eukaryota; Fungi; Basidiomycota; Agaricomycetes; Thelephorales; Thelephoraceae. The record is from RNAcentral.